Molecule: long non-coding RNA, 1456 nt
Filed under: Homo sapiens (human)
Lineage: Eukaryota; Metazoa; Chordata; Mammalia; Primates; Hominidae
Description: HSALNT0254491
Source: RNAcentral
CUGGAUUUCAUUUGCCUUUAAUUAAACACAAAGCUGUUACAUAUUUUUCUCUUCUAAUAGCUGCUGGAAGUCUAAGCAUAUGGAAACGAUACCUAUGAAAAUCAAAUGGACAUUUUGGGCUUUGUGGAUCAUUAAAGGUUUACACUUAAAAAUUAUUUUUUAAUUAAAAAAAUAAAAAUUAAUUAAAGGAUGACAAAUACAUUGGGAUGUUACUCAAAAUGAUAAUCCUGUCUGCAGCUCACUUCAGUUAUUCCUUGACUAGUUCUCUCACCGUCCAUAGAUUUUAUCCUCACCAGGAAAUCAUGGCACACUUGCCUAGAUAUCACUGUGCACAUGGGAAAACACUCGCAACGGGCUACAACUGUGCAGAUGACCAUAACUCUUCCUCACCCUGUGAGGAACUCUAGUUUUCUGCAGAACACAAUUUUUCCAUCAGUGUGUAGGGGCAGCAAAGUGACAAUGCCAAAUAUAUAAGGCAAUUUAAAAUUAUUUCACAAAGGUAUUAAAAACAAACACCCACAUUGUGGUUCAAAUCCAGAUGAAGUACCUGGUCCCAGAUGCCAAUGUCCAAACUCAUAAAAACAUAUGACAUGGGCCUGGUGCGCUGGCUCUACAAGUGCACAUCACCAUGCCUAGAUACUUUUAAAAAUUUCUUUUUAUAGAGACUGUGUCUCACUAUGUGCCCAGACUGGCCUUGAACUCCUGUGCUCAAGUGAUCCUCCUGCCUCAGCCUCCCGAAGCUUUGGAAUUACAAGUGUGAGCCACUGCCCCUGGUCCUGCCGUUAUUUCUGUAUUACUGCUCACUAUUUCCUAACUCAUGAGCAGUUCUUGAAAUAGUAUUAAAAAAAAAGAAAUAGUAUUUAAGACAUAUUACAUGGUGGAACUAUAAAUGAAUUCAUGAUGAGAUUGUCACUUACUGAAGCCCGAUCCUUUAUUCUGCAUUCCCUAUUAUCUACCUUGUCAAGUUUGAUACUAUACUUUAUUCUGCCUUGAUAUUAUCCAAAAAAAAAAUUUUUUUUUUUUUGAGAUGGAGUCUUACUCUUGUCGCCCAGGCUGGAGUGCAGUGGCGCAAUCUUGGCUCACUGCAACCUCUGCCUCCCGGGUUCAAGCGAUUCUCCUGCCUCAGCCUCCCAAGUAGCUGGGAUUACAGGCGCCUGCCACCACGCCUGGCCAAUUUUUUGUAUUUUUAGUAGAGACAAGGUUUCACCAUGUUCACCAUGUUGGCCAGCGUGGUCUCGAACUCCUCACAUCAGGUGAUCCACCCGCCUCGGUGGGUCCUGGGAUUACAGGCGUGAGCCAUUGCUACUGGGCUCCAAUAAAGUUUAAACUUGUUUUAUUAGUUAUCUUUUUAUGUCUUUUGCUAGACUUAUUUAAUACUUAAAUUUAUAAAACCGUUACGUAAGUUUUUGUCAUUAUGAAUAAACAAGAAUUUAUUAGGCUGGGCGCGGUGGCUCAC